This 638-nucleotide long non-coding RNA is filed under the name Lynx canadensis (Canada lynx). RNAcentral describes it as "lncRNA (ENSLCNG00005002117.1)". The record is from RNAcentral. Lineage: Eukaryota; Metazoa; Chordata; Mammalia; Carnivora; Felidae.
GCUCAGGGCAGUGGGCAUGGUGGCCAGUUCAGCUGUCUCCCUGACCCUUUGCUUUUCUAGACCCAAGGAUGAAUUCCCGGCUCCUCGUACACUUGCCACUCCCUGUCAUUCUUCUUUCUGUCUUCUAUCUUUUGGUGGUGGCAAGUCCUUGCUUCAUGUCUGGAUGGGAGUGUCUGAGGUUUGCAGGAUCCCUCGCUGCCUAUAGCCCAGGCCUGGUGGCCCUCUCAGGGUACAUAUUCUAUGAGGCCACCCUCUGCACUGCUGACAGAAUGAUCAUCCCAGACACCUACGCACCAAAAGGAACUGCUGACCCUAUGAAGGCUUCCCAGCAGCAGGGACAAGACGACCUGGAAAUCUGCGUGCUCAUUAAGAUUACAUGGCUACAGGCUACAGCACCUUUGGAGAGUCCUUCUGUUAACACUCUCAGUAGCUUCUCCCCAUCUCCCUGUGCUCACAGGCAUCUUCCUGCAGACAGGUCUUCUUCAUAUUACAAAAGAAGCCAGAGCACAUCACCUUUCUGCAUGUCUGCCAUGUUCUUCAAACAGUGGGCUGGCGCCAGAUAUGUGUCACAUGGUCAAGAGCUUCCUACCACCCUUGGGCAGGGGACUGUGGGAGAUUCUCAGAGCCAUCUGCCUUGA